GAUGAACGCUGGCGGCGUGCCUAAUACAUGCAAGUCGAGCGAACAGAUAAGGAGCUUGCUCCUUUGACGUUAGCGGCGGACGGGUGAGUAACACGUGGGUAACCUACCUAUAAGACUGGAAUAACUCCGGGAAACCGGGGCUAAUGCCGGAUAACAUUUAGAACCGCAUGGUUCUAAAGUGAAAGAUGGUUUUGCUAUCACUUAUAGAUGGACCCGCGCCGUAUUAGCUAGUUGGUAAGGUAACGGCUUACCAAGGCAACGAUACGUAACCGACAAGAGAGUGAGAUGGCACACACUGGAACAGAGAAAAGGACCAGACUCCUACGCGAGGAACCAGUAGGGAAUCUUCCGCAAUGGGCGAAAGCCUAACGGAACAACAACGAGUGAGUGAUGAAGGCAUUCGGAUCAUAAAUCUCUGUUAUUAGGGAAGAACAAAUGUGUAAGUAACUGUGCACGUCUUGACGGUACCGAAUCAAAAAGCAACGGCUAACUACGUG
RNAcentral lists this ribosomal RNA (497 nucleotides) under uncultured bacterium. Its description in RNAcentral is "partial 16S ribosomal RNA". It matches the Rfam family "Bacterial small subunit ribosomal RNA", at positions 28 to 507 of the family's 1533-position model. The record is from RNAcentral.